GUCUUUUGUUUUUGUUUUAUUGGUAUAUAUGACAAAAGGGAAGAAAGGGGUUGUUUUGGUUGAAAAAAAGUGGGACGCGGCUUUCCCCCCCCGAAGAGGAGAAAAAACGCAUCCCAAAGUUCACAAAGGGGUGUGGGGUUUUUUUGUCAGGUAUUUCACUGAUGAUCCUUCCGCAGGUUCACCUACGGAAA
Molecule: unclassified non-coding RNA, 191 nt
Filed under: uncultured fungus
Lineage: Eukaryota; Fungi
Description: sequence contains ITS1
Source: RNAcentral